Long non-coding RNA from Chelonia mydas (Green sea turtle), 3079 nucleotides. RefSeq lists it as uncharacterized. Lineage: Eukaryota; Metazoa; Chordata; Testudines; Cheloniidae. The record is from RefSeq and is a predicted model, not a curated record. The transcript is spliced from 3 exons.
GGGGCUGGCCGCUGGAGCCAGCGCUGCAUACAGCUGCCGAGGGCACCAUGAAGUUUGGUGCCCCGAAUUACGUGGUGCCCUACGAAGCAGCUGCAUAUUCUGCGUAUGCCUAAGGGCGGCCCUGCCGCAGCCCCCUGCUAGGCAAGGCCUGGGGUCCCCCCCAGCUCUGCCACUGCUUACAGUGUGCUUACGCAAUGCCGACAGACCCCGGGGGGCAGGAUCGAACCGGGGAUCUCUGGAGUAUUAGCGCAUGAGCCUCUACAAGGGGAGCUGAAAGCCAACUGUAGUGACUGUAGAGCAGACUCAUUUUAUCUCUCUCUAAGCGCUCUGGGAGCCACUAGCCAGGGCAGAACACCAGGCCCAGGAGGUGUGUGGGUUACCCUGAGGUUAUUGACAUGAACGGUGACCGUAUAGAUCAUUGUUGCAACCAAGGUCUUUUCGUGGCACCCAAUCUUGUACGAAGGCGGUCCAGUGAGGCGUCUAUGAAAAGGUUAUGAUUUGCUGGUUAUGAUUAUGCUAUCUGUAUGCACAUAUCCUUUUUGUAUUUAAAGUUAUAAGUAUUGGCUCUAUACCUCUUUCCAAAUUUGGCUCCCGGGGUAAUGCCCACGAGGUAAUCAGCCAGAUAGAUAUGCCAUGUAAGAUAUCUGCAAAAAUGUUAUUUGCCAGAUAGGAUCAUCUCAUUUAUAUGUUUGUAUUAUGAGUUAUAGGUGUUUAUGUAUGUCUGUAUUUCAAACUCGGGCUGUGCUUCUGGGUGGCACCCCAGACAGUUUGGCACCAGCUCUGCCUAGCCUGCUUGAUGGCCCAGUAAGCACCAUCAGCUGUACAAGUGACCCAUUGAGAGUAGGCAAAUAUGCCUUAUGACUCAGCAAGGCAUGCAGGACACUGCACUCGACACUUGCAAGUUAGCGCGCAUUAAGUCAGCCCCGGGCGCCCUAACUCCGGAGGUGUCCGCAUUGGCAAGGCGCUUAGAGCACCUGGACUCUGCAGCUGGAGCGCUCCCGGUACUCCACCCCCACGAGAAGCAUAACGCUGGCGCGCCCGGGUGUCUGUGUGGACGACGUGGUGCAUUACUGCGCUGUGAUCGGCCUCCGGAAACCUCCCACAGUCCCCUGAAGUCAAGUGGCCGCUCCUGCCGUGGUUUUGAACUCAGCUGCAGGCAUGGGGAUAUCCCCUUUCAACGCGCCGUUUCUGAGAGCCGGCUGCUUAUCUGCCCCGGGACAAAGCAACCCAUGGCUGUGGAAUGCUGCUGCUGGACUUUGCUACAAACUGAAGCUCUGAACAAAGGACUGAAUGACCCAUCCCAGCUGUGGGUGUUCUCCAGAGACUUGAUUUGAACCUGCAGGUUAUUCCAUCAUGGCUACAAGCCUGAACCAAGAACGUUGCCAUGAGUGUAUGGAUUUGAUUCCAUUGAACCAAUUCUGCCUCUCACCUGUAUCUUUUUCCUUUUAUGAAUAAACCUUUAGAUUUCAGAUUCUAAAGGAUUGGCAAGAGUGUGAUUUGUGGAUAAAGCCACUGCCCCUCUGGGGCGCCAGAUCCACCAGCAAAGGGAGGAGGUGCAGGACCUUGCGCGAGGGAGAUCUCAGCUCUACGUCCAGACCUGGAACAGACCCGCAGAGACCAGUGUUUGCUAAACACCCAUUCCCCAGCAACCUGGAGGAUAACAGCCCUACUACCGCUGCAAAGGGCACUCCGCUCUUAGAUCACGUGAGCCCUUCACUGUGGUGCUGGAAGUCCUGCGUUCAAAUCCUGCUCAAUAACAGCCUGUUCCCACCACUGCUACCAAGCGGCACCGGCCCUUCCGCUUGCAUAGAGGGCCGCGCAUUGACGGUGAAGGUCCAGAGCCCAAAUCCUUCCCGUCCACAUGGCAGAUAACGGCCUUACUACUGCCGCCAACACAUGGCACUGCUCCUUUAGCUCAAGCAGUAGCAUGCUGGGCUGCAGCCCCCUGCGUUCCAGUCCCACCAAGGCAGUAACCACAUUUCCACAGAGGCCAGCACGCACGGAUACCAGUGGCCAAGGAGGAGGAGCUCUCCAUAGCUCCACAAGGGCAAACUCGGGCCCCUCACGGAGCCUGGCCCUUGUUCAUCUGCCACUAAGUGGUUCCCCUGAAACGGGACAAGCUCAGCUCCGCCUGUUUGCCCUCCCUCAAGCAACCCCCACUUGCAGUUACAGCCCCUAGUAGCUGGCUUGCUGGUGGGCCCAACCGUGGAGAAGGAAAGACCCGGAGUGGGUGGAGGGCACCAGGGGGACCCUCCAGCUGAAACAGGUCUACGUUUCACUUGUGAGCCAGCAGCUGCACAGGAAGGCCCUUGACGCCAUGGCGCCCCUGACACUGCACGAGGCCGGAUCCCUGAGGAAGUUGGGCCACCCACUCCAAAGCUGAAGUAGGCCGAAGUCUGGUGGGAGUUUGGCCAACCGCUGGUGGCCAGAGCCAGAUUAAUCUAAUGUGGACCCUGGCACCCGGACCAUGGCCCCGCCCCUCGUUCUGCCCCAAAGCCCCGCCCCUGCUCAGCCGCUUUCCCCUGAGGCCCUGCCCAUUGCUCACACGGGGCAUAGGGGAUGGAGAGGAGCGAACAGCGAGCAGGGGUUUCGGGAGAAGAGGCCAAGCGGCGGUGGAGCCUCGGGGCCUAGCAGGUGUGGGGCGGGGGCACCCUUCUGAGUGUGGGCCUGGCACCAUUGACACCUUUGUAAACCUGGUACGGCUCGUGGCCCAGCAGCAGCAAAGGAAGGCCCUUGACACCAUGGCGACCCCAACUUGAGGAUGGCCAAACCCCUGUGCAAGUUUGGCCAACGACGCUGAAGCUCAAGAAGGCCGAAGCCUUCUGGCAGCUGGGCACUAACUCCAAGCCCUGCUGCAUGAUGGUGUCUAUGGAAGGCCUACGGCCCUCUUGGGAGAUGCAGGGAAGAACACAAGAUGCCAUCCCCGGUGUGACACUGCACCCCAUAUUCUUUGCAGUGAUGUUACGAUGUUAUAAUUAUGACAUAAUUAUAAUGUAUUUUAUGCAAGAUAAGUCAUGUGAGGUAUCAUUGGAAGGGCUAUGAUUUGCUGAAUAUGAUAAUCUUAUUCGUAUGCAUGUAU